Molecule: ribosomal RNA, 253 nt
Filed under: uncultured bacterium
Lineage: Bacteria
Description: partial 16S ribosomal RNA
Rfam family: Bacterial small subunit ribosomal RNA
Source: RNAcentral
UACAGAGGGGACUAGCGUUGUUCGGAAUUACUGGGCGUAAAGCGCACGUAGGCGGAUUUGUAAGUCAGGGGUGAAAUCCCGGGGCUCAACCUCGGAACUGCCUUUGAUACUGCAAAUCUCGAGUCCGGAAGAGGUGAGUGGAAUUCCUAGUGUAGAGGUAAAAUUCGUAGAUAUUAGGAAGAAUACCAGUGGCGAAGGCGUCUCUCUGGUCCGUUACUGACGCUGAGGCGCGAAAGCGUGGGGAGCAAACAGG